CUCCGACGAAAACUAAAAAAGAAGAAUUCCUCGAUCCGCACCGAACGAUCAUCUGCGUGCGUUCUCACCGAGAGAACAGAGCGGCAACGAUGGGUUCCGAGACGCGCCUGGUGGAUCUACUGCGAGGCGAGAUCCCCUUCGAGGAGGAAGCCGACUUCGAUCUCUCACUCCGACCUGAUUCAGGCACCUCUCUGGGCCUCGUUCUUGUCGACAUCCUCAAUGGAUUCUGCACCGUCGGAGCUGGCAACCUCGCCCCGAUCGAGCCGAACAGGCAGAUUUCCUCCAUGGUAGAGGAGGCAGCGAGGUUAGCUAGGCAUUUCUGCGAGAUGGAGUGGCCUGUGCUCGUCUUCCUCGAUUCCCACCACCCAAACAAGCCUGAGCCUCCUUAUCCGCCUCACUGCGUUGUGGGAUCAGGGGAGGAGGAUCUGGUUCCUGGUACCUUCUCCCUACUCGUUUAGGGUUGAAGCUAACUUGUUUGUUGAAUUGCCUGUGUGGAUUUGUUCCAAUAAGUUAGAAGCUUUUUGUGGAUCUGCAAUAUAUCAACUCUACUUGUUGAAGAAUUCUUACUAUAGAUCCUGAAUAGUUAAAUAAAUGGUGCCUUUUCUCAUAGACUCUCUUUUUGGGUUUCUUUCUGUAGAUCAUGAAUGCCAAUGUGAUAAAAUAUCCACUAGUUCAAUCGGCCAUUAGAAGGAAGGUAAAUACAUGUAUAGGGCUGAAAGAUAGAUGCAUGUGUAAAUGGGGAUUGAUCAAGGAAUUAUAGCAGAACUAAUUGGAUUAGUACCUUAGGCUUAGGAUGUUCGGAGUUCUAGAAAGAGAAAAAUACUAAAGAGGAAGAAGUUAGACCAUGAGCCAAGUUGUACCGACAUUGCAAACCAUGAGUGAAGUCGUUGCCGUCUUGGGACCUUGUGGAAGCCUCACUGAUCUCAUGCAGAAUUGUUGCCAUCCCACGAGUUCAAGUAUCGUCUCAUGCAAGUUUUGUGUUAGUCGACUGAUGGAAAGAGAAGUUUCUCUUAUCCAAACAAGUGCAGAAUGAAAUUUUAAUCCAUACUUAUUGCUAUAAAGUAAUACCUUUUGAUUUGAUAAAUGCAAGUGAUGUAUCACCAAAAUCGAAUCAAAACUCAAAUUGAGAAUUAAUACUAAAUAUACGUGUAGCACACAGUGGUAACUAUUUCUCAAAGAGAUCCAAUUCAUGCAAAAAAAAAAAAAUCUCAUAAGAUUAAUAGUUUAUUAGAAUAAAAAAGUCCUAAGAGGUGUAGAUCCUCAUAUAAAAAUCGAUAAGAAGUUAUUUAGUGAUGGAAGAUCAAGACAAGAAUAGAGAAUGCCCCAUCAAACUUUGUGAACGACACUUUGAAGAGCUCGAUCCAAAGGGGUAACUAAUUGGGGGUAAAAUACACAUUAGUACAACCGAUGCGUACAAAGUUGAAAUAACAUGUUUGAAUAGGGCUAAUCUGAGGAUAUAUGCAGGCAGAAAAGUGUUAAUGCAAUAGAGAGCAACAUGAUAGAAGUUAGUUCUAAGCCAAAGAAAGUUUGAUCUGAUAGAAGGGAAGGAUCAAAGAACAUCAAGAUAUAGAGUGACUGUAAUUAUUUAAUCAGUUAUCAAUUUUGCAGCUCUAAAAUGGCUGGAGGAGGACCCAAGCGUGACAAUCCGACGCAAGGACUGCUUCGACGGGUUCAUCGGCUCCAUGGAGAAGGAUGGCUCUAAUGCAUUCUCAAAGUGGGUAAAAGCUAAUCAGAUCAAAACUAUUUUGGUGGCGGGAAUAUGCACAGACAUAUGUGUGCUAGAUUUCGUGUGUUCCACUCUCUCUGCCAGAAAUGUGGGCAUGGUGCCACCUCUGGAGGAUGUUGUGGUUUAUUCUGGUGGAUGUGCUACUUUCGAUUUCCCAAUUGAUGUCGCUAGAAAUAUCAAAGGAACUUUAGCACAUCCACAGGAUCUGCUCCAUCAUGUAGGACUUUACAUGGCCAAGGCAAGGGGUGCCAGGAUAGUGAAGAAAGUAACCCUUGGCUCAUCAAUCUAAGUCGACUCUAAAUAUGCUUACAAGAAAAACAAAACAAAAGAGUGCUUCCUGCUAUCGACAUCAGCAGCUCAGAUAAAUCCUUCAUCUUCGUAAUGUUAAUGUUGUAGAUUUCUUCUAGUAUGGGUGGUUUGAUACUCUACUUUUUUUUAUAUUUCUGAGCAUGAAAUGAAUGUUUGUCAUAUAAGCAACAAGAAAUGAAUGGAUUGUGAUUUACUGUGCAUAUUUGAAACAAAAUGCGUGAAGCUCUUCUUUGCUUAGUGGGUGCCCAUUAGAGAAUCCAAAGCUUUCUUGAACAUCAUCCUUGUACGAAUAUGAAUGGGAAUCGCUACUCCAUGCUUUCAUAUUGUUGUGUAGAGAGGUUAAUCCCUCACGCAUGUUGAACUGUCUUCUAUGAUUCUAUAAUCAUCAAUAAUGUUUUCUGCCCGAACGUGAGAACAUGAGGUUCUUCCUAUAGGUUCCACACCACCAUGAACUCGAUUCAUUAUUUCGACUAAAUUCUCUUUGUAGGAUUGAUAUACUUGCUUUCGAAUGUCUAUAACACCUUGUGGCAUACAUUAUUGAGAUAGCAGUUUGUACCAUGAAUAGCAAUAUUUUUAAAUUCUUGUUUAGAUUGGCCUUCACUAGGAUAGCUAUAAUGGAUUGACGAAUAAUUGAGUUGAAGGGAAAGGAUCCUCUGGUCCAUGUCUUUUGGACUAGGAGAUGGUCCACAACUCAAUUGCAAUCGGAUCGUGGUUGCAAUCUGAUCCGAUCAUAAUUGGUUACGAUCCUCUUGGGUUCACCUUCCCAUUCAGGUUAUAGUUUGAGUCAGGACAGAUGGCGAAGGCUAUCACGGUGGGCGGGUGGCUGGGCUACCGGGCGUCGAGCGAGGAGCGGCCUGUAAGUACCCCGUGAUGAUUUUGAUGUGAUCAACCAAGUCAAAUUAGGUCUUGUUAUUAUUGUGAUGUCUUGUGUCUAAGUGUGUAGAAACUUUGGAGCACAGAAAGUUGAGCGAAAGACGCAGCUAGAACAUCACUUGUAAAAUGACUUAUAUUCUUGUUCUACUACUUUUGUGAGCUAUCAAUGGUGUAAAGAGGCUACUCCGCCUAAAGAAGACUUGAGUGAACUUCAUUUGCAUAGGAUUAGCAAUCCUCUUAUUACAAACCUAGUAAAUUCUCUUGCCUUUACUCUUUAAUUUAUGCAUUUGCAUUUUGUUUUCAUACAAGUAUUUUCUUAAGUAAGUUUGAAACGUCGAGAAAGGUUGAUUUUGAUUUUUCAGGGCAAUUCACACCCUCUUGUCGGCCGCUAGGAGACCAACAAUUGGUAUCAAAGCAAAGACGCUUCAGAAGGACUAACCACCCACCGACUGAAGCAAAAUCAAUGGUUGGACCAAGCCUCAUCCCACCAAAGUUCGAGAGGGAGACUGCAUACUAGAAACGUCAAAUGGAGGUAUUCCUAAAAAUCGACUUUGAAAUUCUUUUAAUAAUUAAAUACGAUUUGCAGUUUCAAAAGAUCAACAAGGCGUAGAGAAAGAAGAAUACCUCUGAUGAAGAAGGAGCAAAGCGAUUUCGUAGCCAACAGUAAAGCGAAAUAUUACUUAUUAAGUGUAGUACCGCCUCAAGAAGUAAAUCGCAUCUGAAGCUACACAUCGGCAAAAGACCUCUGGGAGAAAUUCUUGGAACUCCACAAAGAAACAUCUGAAGAAAAACUAGCACGACGGGACAUUCUUCAAAACAAGCUAACGAACAUCCGUCUAGAAAAAGUUGAGAAGGUAGUCAAACUACAUGCAAAGAUCAAGGAGCUAAUCACCGGACUGGUCAACCUCGACGAAACGAUAACAAAACGAGACUCGGUAUGCUACACACUCAACACUUUUCCUAGGACUCCAGAAUAAACCUUAAUAAUCGACGUCUACUACAUCUCAAAGAAUCUGCAGGUAAGUACCCUAGAGGAACUCUUUUCAACUUUAGAAUUAUAUGAAACCAGAUGUGCAGGGACAACAAAAGAAUCAAGCCAGAUUCUGGCACUAAAAGCCACCAAAAAGGAUGAACCCGAGUCAGACUCACAUCUGGAAGGAGACCAAGAAGGUUACAUGUGUCAAAAGGAGGGACACAUAAAGGAGGACUGCUCGAAACUCAAAAAAAAAAAAAGACAAGAGGCCCAAGCAAAACAACCACAAGAAUCUCAAGGCCACUUGGGACGAAAGCUCAUCAUCCGAGUCAGAAAUAGAAACAUACGCUGGUCUAGCAUUGAUCACUAGCCACAAAGAACAAAGUAUCUCAAAAGCCAGCAUCGAUGAAGGGGGAGCAACUUCAUACGAAUGCAA
Zingiber officinale is the source of this 4317-nucleotide RNA transcript. It is a transcript of the gene named nicotinamidase 1-like, with no coding region annotated. The record is from RefSeq and is a predicted model, not a curated record. Lineage: Eukaryota; Viridiplantae; Streptophyta; Magnoliopsida; Zingiberales; Zingiberaceae. The transcript has 5 exons.